GACAGUGCCACUGCACUCUAGCCUCAGUGACGUGAGUGAAAUUCCAUCUCAAAAAUAAAAAUAAGAAAACUCCAAUGAACUAAAUGAACUAAGGAACAAUUUCCUGUUCUAGCCACAAAAAAAAGAAAGAAAAUACAUAGGUUCCUGAAUUUAGAAUAUUAAAAUAUGCUGAAUUUAAAUGACAUCUGAUUUUUUACCCACUAGCUAAGAGCUUUCUAGGGGGAAAAUGCUGAAUAUGUGGAAAAGUUUAAUUACUCUAUGAAUUAGAAGAAAUUUUCUUGUAAUAAGACCAUUCAUGGAAAUGGUGCCUCAAGGGCCCUGUGAACUCUACAACCCAAGAUGUAAAAUUUAUAUCUCACCAUCAUUUUCUCUCCCAAGACAGACUGUCCCUGAAGUGUUGUCUACUGUUGUGGAGGCAAUCACUGUCAUUCCCAGGCACUGAGCCUCGAAACUGCAGAGUCAAAGGUGACCUCCUUUUCCCUGGCCGCUCACACCACCUCCAUCGAUUCUCCCUGGGCAGCACUUCUGCUGCCAGUGGCGUGACUUGGUCACGCAGGCCCUUCCUCUGGGCCACAGCCACUGUCUUCCAGCCAAUUGACCUUCUGAUUCCAGCUGUGGCUUCUCUCAACUUCCCACAGACGGCCUGAGACUGUGCCGACAGCAGAAUUGAUUCCUAUGAUCCUGAAUGUAAAGUCUGAGUAUCAAAUCUGCAUCUCUUGGGACCAUUGCAAGCUGCAGAAAAUGAGAAGACCCUACUGACCAGCCCAAGAAGACAGAUGACAAGAUACUGAGGUUGGGAUUCCCUAAGGAAAUGAUCCAGCAGAUCACUCCAAGAUAGAGUCAACCCCAAACCAUUAGGGUGCUCUUUAUUUUUUAUUAUUAUUUUUAUUUAUUUAUUUUUGAGACGGAGUCAUGCUCUGUUGCCCAGGCUGGAGUGCAGUGGCGCAAUCUCGGCUUCAUUGCAACCUCCACCUCUCGGGUUCAAGUGAUUCUCCUGCCUCAGCCUCCCGAGUAGCUGGGAUUACAGGUGUGCACCACCAUACCCAGCUAAUUUUUGUAUUUUUUGAAGAGAUGGGGUUGCACCAUGUUGGCCAGGCUGGUCUUUAGUCUCCCAUUCUCAAAUACAAGCAUAUAACCAAUGACCAUCAGCCACCUCAGAAAAACUUCUAACAUGAUAGAGGGAUAAAAAUAAAAAGAGGCUGGGGGCAGUGGCUGGGCGCAGACACUCUGUCACCCAGGCUGGAGUGCAAUGGCAUGAUCUCAGCUCACUGCAACCUCUACAUCCCAGGUACAAGAGAUUCUCCUGCCUCAGCCUCCAGGGUAGCUGGGACUACAGGCACACGCCACCACGCCCGGCUAAUUUUUUGUAUUUUUAGUAGAGAUGGGGUUUCACCAUGUUAGCCAGGCUGGUCUUGAACUCCUGACCUCAGGUGAUUCACCUGCCUAGGCCUCCCAAAGUGCUGGGAUAACAGGCGUGAGCUACUGCACCUGACAAAAAAGAUUUUUUUUUUAAUAUUAAAGAACUAGUCCAUAAGACCCAAUUUAAAACUUUUCUUUUUAGUAGUUCUAGACAGAAAGGAGAAAAAAAAAAUAGAAGAGAGGAUAUAUUCAUUGAAAUAAUUCUGGAAAUGUUAAGAAGUGAAGGACAUGAGUUUCCACAUUAAAGGUGUCUACAAUGGAUAAAACCAGACACACCGUCUGAGGCACAUUAUAGCGAAAUUUCAAAACAAUGGAGACAAAGAGAAAAUCGAAUGAGAAAAACAUGGUCAUACACAGAGGAUUAGGAAUCUGAAUGCCUUUUGAGUUCUCAAUUACUGCAAGGAAAGCUGAAAGACAGCAGGUCCAACCUCAAAGGGGGAAUAGUUUCCAGCCAAGAAUUCUAUAUCCAAAUCAAAUGCGUAGGGAGAAUGAAAACACGUUUGGACAUUAAAGGUCUCAAAAAGUUGUACUUUUUACAUGCCAGUUUCUUAGGAAUCUCCUAGAAGUUGUGUUUCCUGUGAAUGAAGGAGUAACUUUAGGAAACACAGGAUCCCAGAGACAUUUCACUCAAGACAGAGCUGGUGAUCCCAGGAUAACAGCUGUGAACUAGGUGGUAGAGAGUGAACUGUCCAAGGUAGGUGGGUAAGUAAGUGUCCUGCAGAGACUUCUUCAAAAAGAUGAACCUGAUAGCAAAUCCAAUGCAUCUGAAAGUCUGCGAGGCAAUAUAUUUGAGAUGGCAGAGAGUUUGAGAGUUGUUAGCGAAAUAACACAGAAAUCUAGAUGAAGAAAAUAAUAAAAAUUAACCAAAGGUGGCACUGGAAACAAAUAGCAAUUGCAGGAGAUGGCAUGGCUUGGCCAUGAACAGUGUUCACGUGGUUAUAAUAAUGCAAAAAAAAAUCAUCUAAAUAAAAAUCUGGUAUGUGUAUGUUAGGAGGGUGGGGGAAUGGGAAAGGAUGUUCCAGGAGAAGGUAGAAGCAAGCUCAAGCCUCAUCUUCCAUGGUACACAGUAAAGAGAUAAUAAGCAGCCAGGCAUGGUGGCUCACACCUGUAAUCCCAGCACUUUGGGAGGCCGAGGUGGGUGGAUCAUUUGAGGUCAGGAGUUCAAGACCAGCCUGGCCAACAAGGUGAAACCCCGCCUCUACUAAAAAUACAAAAACUGGCAGCCUCCUGUAGUCCCAGCUACCCAGGAGGCUAAAGCAGGAGAAUUGGUUGAACCCGGGAGGUAGAGGUUGCAGUGAGCCGAGAUCGCGCCACUGCACUCCAGCCUGGGGGACAGAGCAAGACUCCGCCUCAAAAAAAAAAAAAAAAAAGAGAUAAUAAGCAAAAUGGUGGGUUGGGGGUGCAGGGGCGAGCAGCAAUAUAAGUAUGCUAUUUAGAGAUACGGAGAUAAAUACCAAAUGAAUCACCUAGAAAAUCUGAAAGUGGUUGUUGCUUGAGAGGGGGAAAUGGAGGUGUGUUUGUGUUUGAGGAGGGUACAAGGAACUGCUGCUUUUUUGUUUUGUUUUGUUUUUUAAUAAACUUGGACUUUUUAACUGUCCAUGUAGAAUUUUGACAAAACUAAAAAUAAGGUUUAAAAUAGUGGUGACUGUAUCCAAGAAAGGAAAAAGCACAUCAACAACCUCAGCCAAAAAAUGUAGGGCAGAGGAAAGGAGAGGACUGGCAGGCAAACAGUAGUGACAAAUCCUUGUGAAGUGUCCUACUGGGUACUAGGUGCUAUGUUUGGUUCUGUAUCUUGUGUAAUCCACAUAAUAAACAUGUUGUAGUCACA
This is a long non-coding RNA of Homo sapiens (human), 3247 nucleotides long. RefSeq lists it as uncharacterized. NCBI's taxonomy places the organism in Eukaryota, Metazoa, Chordata, Mammalia, Primates, Hominidae. The record is from RefSeq and is a predicted model, not a curated record. The transcript is spliced from 2 exons.